RNAcentral lists this ribosomal RNA (494 nucleotides) under uncultured bacterium. RNAcentral describes it as "partial 16S ribosomal RNA". It matches the Rfam family "Bacterial small subunit ribosomal RNA", at positions 28 to 506 of the family's 1533-position model. The record is from RNAcentral.
GACGAACACUGGCGGCGUGCCUAAUACAUGCAAGUAGAACGCUGAAGGAGGAGCUUGCUUCUCUGGAUGAGUUGCGAACGGGUGAGUAACGCGUAGGUAACCUGCCUGGUAGCGGGGGAUAACUAUUGGAAACGAUAGCUAAUACCGCAUAAUAGUAGAUGUUGCAUGACAUUUGCUUAAAAGGUGCAAUUGCAUCACUACCAGAUGGGCCUGCGUUGUAUUAGCUAGUUGGUGGGGUAACGGCUCACCAAGGCGACGAUACAUAGCCGACCUGAGAGGGUGGUCGGCCACACGGGGACUGGGACACGGCCCAGACUCCUACGGGAGGCAGCAGUAGGGAAUCUUCGGCAAUGGACGGAAGUCUGACCGAGCAACGCCGCGUGAGUGAAAAAGGUUUUCGGAUCGUAAAGCUCUGUUGUAAGAGAAGAACGGGUGUGGGAGUGGAAAGUUCCCACUGGGGCGGUUUUUUACCAAAAAGGGACGGCUAACUACGU